RNAcentral lists this ribosomal RNA (492 nucleotides) under uncultured bacterium. RNAcentral's name for it is "partial 16S ribosomal RNA". It matches the Rfam family "Bacterial small subunit ribosomal RNA", at positions 29 to 507 of the family's 1533-position model. The record is from RNAcentral.
AGUGAACGCUGGCGGUAGGCCUAACACAUGCAAGUCGAACGGCAGCACAGUAAGAGCUUGCUCUUACGGGUGGCGAGUGGCGGACGGGUGAGGAGUACAUCGGAAUCUACUUUUUCGUGGGGGAUAACGUAGGGAAACUUACGCUAAUACCGCAUACGACCUACGGGUGAAAGCAGGGGAUCUUCGGACCUUGCGCGAUUGAAUGAGCCGAUGUCGGAUUAGCUAGUUGGCGGGGUAAAGGCCCACCAAGGCGACGAUCCGUAGCUGGUCUGAGAGGAUGAUCAGCCACACUGGAACUGAGACACGGUCCAGACUCCUACGGGAGGCAGCAGUGGGGAAUAUUGGACAAUGGGCGCAAGCCUGAUCCAGCCAUACCGCGUGGGUGAAGAAGGCCUUCGGGUUGUAAAGCCCUUUUGUUGGGAAAGAAAAGCAGCAGGUUAAUACCCCGCUGUUCUGACGGUACCUAAAGAAUAAGCACCGGCUAACUUCGUG